CCUACGGGAGGCAGCAGUGAGGAAUAUUGGUCAAUGGCCGCAGGGCUGAACCAGCCAAGUCGCGUGAGGGAUGACGGUCCUAUGGAUUGUAAACCUCUUUUGUCAGGGAGCAAAGGGCGCCACGUGUGGCGCUUUGCGAGUACCUGAAGAAAAAGCAUCGGCUAACUCCGUGCCAGCAGCCGCGGUAAUACGGAGGAUGCGAGCGUUAUCCGGAUUUAUUGGGUUUAAAGGGUGCGCAGGCGGAAUGUCAAGUCAGCGGUAAAAUUUCGGGGCUCAACCCCGUCGUGCCGUUGAAACUGGAGUUCUUGAGUGAGCGAGAAGUAUGCGGAAUGCGUGGUGUAGCGGUGAAAUGCAUAGAUAUCACGCAGAACUCCGAUUGCGAAGGCAGCAUACCGGCGCUCAACUGACGCUCAUGCACGAAAGCGUGGGUAUCGAACAGGAUUAGAUACCCCGGUAGUC
This 459-nucleotide ribosomal RNA is filed under the name uncultured bacterium. RNAcentral's name for it is "partial 16S ribosomal RNA". It matches the Rfam family "Bacterial small subunit ribosomal RNA", at positions 338 to 795 of the family's 1533-position model. The record is from RNAcentral.